This 504-nucleotide ribosomal RNA is filed under the name uncultured bacterium. RNAcentral's name for it is "bacterial SSU rRNA". It matches the Rfam family "Bacterial small subunit ribosomal RNA", at positions 29 to 529 of the family's 1533-position model. The record is from RNAcentral.
AAUAAACGCUGGCGGCGUGCCUAACACAUGCAAGUCGAGCGAGAAAGCUCCUUCGGGAGUUAGUAAAGCGGCGAACGGGUGAGCAACACGUGAGAAUCUACCCUUUAGUGAAGAAUACCCUCGAGAAAUCGAGGCUAAUACUGCAUACGUCCCUUCGGGGAGAAAGAUGGCCUCUUUGCUAUCGCUAAAGGAUGAGCUUGCGUACUAUUAGCUAGUUGGCGGGGUAAAGGCCCACCAAGGCAAUGAUGGUUAACCGGCCUGAGAGGGUGUACGGUCACACUGGAACUUAGACACGGUCCAGACUCCUACGGGAGGCAGCAGUGAGGAAUCUUGCGCAAUGGGCGAAAGCCUGACGCAGCGACGCCGCGUGGAGGAUGACGGUUUUCGGAUUGUAAACUCCUGUUAAGCGGGAAGAAAGCCUUGUUUCUAAUACAAGCAAGGUAUGACGGUACCGCUAGAGAAAGCACCGGCUAACUUCGUGCCAGCAGCCGCGGUAAUGUCGUC